CCAGCAGCCGCGGUAAUACGGAGGGUGCGAGCGUUAAUCGGAUUUACUGGGCGUAAAGCGUGCGUAGGCGGCUUAUUAAGUCGGAUGUGAAAUCCCCGAGCCUUACUUGGGAAUUGCAUUCGAUACUGGUGAGCUAGAGUAUGCUUGAGGAUGGUAGAAUUCCAGGUGUAGCGGUGAAAUGCGUAGAGAUCUGGAGGAAUACCGAUGGCGAAGGCAGCCAUCUGGCCUAAUACUGACGCUGAGGUACGAAAGCAUGGGGAGCAAACAGGAUUAGAUACCCUGGUA
RNAcentral lists this ribosomal RNA (285 nucleotides) under Acinetobacter baumannii. Its description in RNAcentral is "partial 16S ribosomal RNA". It matches the Rfam family "Bacterial small subunit ribosomal RNA", at positions 508 to 792 of the family's 1533-position model. Lineage: Bacteria; Pseudomonadati; Pseudomonadota; Gammaproteobacteria; Moraxellales; Moraxellaceae. The record is from RNAcentral.